CUUAAACCGUGCUAGUCAUGGCUUCUGUGGAAGCCAUGACAAGAUCGCAGCAGAAGUUGCUUGAAGCUGGCCGGGCGAAGUUGGCGAAGCACAAGGAGAGGAAUAGUAAGAGUAAGAAUAGGAAUAAAAAUUCAUCGCCGGAGUAGAGGUCUGCUAUCCUGGAUGCGAAGAUCAAUAGUGAUGGAAGCCCUAGAGUUGCAAGGUCACCACGGGCAUCUUCCAACUCACAUCUAGACAUGAUCGACAGCAUCGAGCUUGGGAGAAAGGACGUGCAUAGCAUUGGUGCCGAGAUUGAUCAGCCUAAGAGAAUCGAGAUCGAGCUAGGUGAUGGCAGGAGAAACGAGGGGUUAGUUGAGGAUCAGACAGCCCCACUCUCUCUAUCGAAUGUCCCUAAAAGCUUCAAGAACGAAGCAGUUGAUGUUCAGAUGCAGGGUGAAGCCGACGAGGCGUUGAGGAAGCAGCCGGAAGCUGAAGAACAGGGAAUACAUUUUGGUGAGGAUUUCUCAGGCCUCGAGCAGCACAUUCAGGACUUAAACAUAAAAAAAAUUGCACUUCAGCGGGAGCUCGCAAAAGCCAGGGAAACGACACAGGAAGUUUUUGCAGAACAUUCUGCAGUUGUUGAGAAUUUCAAUGAUCAGGGGCUAGUGAUGAAACAGCUGAAAGAUGACAUAGAAAUGCUUGAGAGGAUUCUGGAACGGGAAGCAUUUGCAAGGGUUCUGAUGUCUGAAAGAGAUAGGUCUCGGCAAGAUUUUGGGGCAGCUCGAGAACAGUCCCUAACCAUGGCCAGUGACGUAGUUGUUUUGGAAAACCGCAUACGGACAUUGAGGUCUGAUGAGCUGAAAAUGAAGAAAGACAUGAUCAAUUUAAUUUGCGAGAAGGAUUCCCUCAGAAAGCAAGCUGUUAAUUUGUAACAGGAUCGUGUCCACUUACAGAGCUUAAUUGAUACGUUGCAGGAAGAGAAGAAGGUUCUGCAGGUUCGUCUACGUCAGUUAGCUCUUGGUGAACGAGAAGUUACUAACAGAAAUGAAAACUCAGAAGCAGUGCAGUUGAGACAGCGACUCUUCGCAGAUGCCUCAACGUCCACUGAUGAUUUACCUUCUCCACUUCGAACAUCCACUGAAGGUUCUUCAAAUCCUUUGCCAAUCCAUUCCUUGACUCCUGGCACCAAGGUCGAAAACUUGUGCAGCCUCUUUCUAGUCAAAGCAUUGCAUAUUCUUCGUACUUUAGGCCAACCAAUGAGUCCUCACAAUCACCUUUCAGGCAGUCUCCUCUGUCAAGUAAUAGUUAUGCUCAUCACUUUCUCUCUGAUCUUGGGCAUUCAUCUUUAUCAAGGUCAACGAACAACCCUCAAAGUGGUGGGUAUCGAAGUAUUCAACUUCCAGCAUCUUGUACAUCUAUACCAGCAGAUCUGAUGAAAAUCAUCCGUAACAUCAGUGAUGUCAUUAUUUCAAUUAGUGAAGAGAGAGUCACUAUUGUAAAUGCAUUGAAGACGGAGUCUAAAGUUGCCGCAGACUUGAGGGCUUUAAACGCUGAUCUGUCUAGACAGCUGGAGUCCACCAAAGGGCAGUUAGAACGACUUGCAGCUCAAAGAAUGCUUUUUAGGAGUUCCAGUAAUGAGCUAACCACGGCAAGAAACGCAGCAGCCUUACACUCUUUCGAUGAAGGGGAUGAAGUUGUUGAUCGCAUGUUAAUUUGGAUCAUGCAGCUGUUCCUUAGUAGAACUUCUUCAAGACGAAAUGGAGUGAAAAAGCUGUAGCGCCGGACAUACUUCCACUACUAUGCAGAAGGUGGUAAUUCUGAUGACCAACGGAAGCUUUCAUUUACUGUCUGUCUGCAAAGGCUGGCAAGGGCGUGUAGGUCACAUGAGGUAAUGACUUCCUCUGCUGUCAGGUACGUUUUCUUCCGCACUGCCAUUGCACGAGUAUCAAUUAAGAACGCUACUGCUUACUGUCAAGGUGAAUUUCAGAUUCAGCUUCUUUUGAUGUUACUAUCAUGAUGCUGGCAGGCCCAAACUUUGGCUCCCUCGUCAUUAUAUAUUUCUAUUUCGAGAAAUACUUAUAGUUUGUCCACAGCCAUGGUAAUUGUUUCCAGAACAUUGAGAGGGUUGACAUACAUGUUUGGGAUCUGAGUAGCAAUGUCUAGUGAGAAAGUACUCGACAUAUUAUAAUUAGAAUAGGUAGUAAGUGGAAGCAAGUGGAUUUUCAUGUCACAGAGAAGUUGCUUCAUCAUCAGGAUACAUUAGUAUGUCUGCUUUUUAAAACCUGAUAGUGGUGAGUUGUAUAAGGAGAUUGUGGAUACUUAAGCAAACUGCAGAAUAUCCUCGAUGGUAUUGUGGGAUAGAAAUAGACCAACCCAGUUAGGGUAGGAGGAAUAGUCAACGCAGAGGAACUUGGAGAGUGUCAUUUUAGGAAUCUUUUGUUGUGAUUUGUGUAGAAACUUAUCUUCAAGUAAUUCUGAAAUUAACACGAAAUGCAAAUGGUGUUGGGUACAGAUACAGGGUAUUUCUUUCAGGUGCCUUAAUUUGCAUCUGAGAAAAUAUCUUUCAAUGCAGCCAACAGCUUGACUGUGCUUUUAUUGGGUAGCAUCUUGCACAACAUUUAGUAGCUUGGCUUUCUACGUUGAAACAUUUCAACAGACAUUCCCAAAUUUAGAAUCAACAAUUAAGAUAUCAUCUUCUGUGGUCUGUAUUUAAAUAAUGCUGUGUGUGUACCACAAAAUGAAUUGUUUAUUCUCAUCUUAACCUUCUUUGAUAAC
Physcomitrium patens is the source of this 2754-nucleotide non-coding RNA. The record is from RefSeq and is a predicted model, not a curated record. Lineage: Eukaryota; Viridiplantae; Streptophyta; Bryopsida; Funariales; Funariaceae.